RNAcentral lists this ribosomal RNA (545 nucleotides) under Asterophora lycoperdoides. Its description in RNAcentral is "partial 12S ribosomal RNA". It matches the Rfam family "Bacterial small subunit ribosomal RNA", at positions 393 to 919 of the family's 1533-position model. The record is from RNAcentral. Lineage: Eukaryota; Fungi; Basidiomycota; Agaricomycetes; Agaricales; Lyophyllaceae.
GAAAUCACAUGAGUCAUGCUUAAUCGUUGGUGAUUGUGAUAACGUAAGGGAAAAAAAUGAUAUUACCUUACUAUUAGUGUUGUCCAAAACUGGUGCCAGAAGACUCGGUAAGGCCAGAGACGCAAACGUUAGUCGUCCUAAUCAGGCGUAAAGGGUGUGUAGGCUGCUUUGAAAGUUAUAUUCUACAUAAAGCUCUUUUAACGUAGUAUCUUAAUAAAAAAAUUAUGAAUACUCGUUCUAAGGUAAAAUAUAAUAAAUUAAAGCUAGGAUCAAAUUGAGGAUAAGCCAAAUAAUACUUAGAGUAGGGAUUAAAUCCGCAGAUACUAAGGGGAAUACUAAAGGUGAAAGCUUUUUAUCUAUUAUUGAUUGACGCUGAGAAACGAAGGUGAGAAUAGGAAAUAGGAUUAGAUACCCAGAUACCUCUCACUGUCAACGAUGAAUGGUGGUUGUUAGUUUAAAUUAAAACUGGUAACGAUGUUAACACGAUAACCAUUCCGCCUUGCGAGUACGGUUGCAAAACUGAAACCAAAAAAAUUAGUCGGUCU